RNAcentral lists this transfer RNA (72 nucleotides) under Ameiurus melas (black bullhead). RNAcentral's name for it is "tRNA-Glu". The record is from RNAcentral. Lineage: Eukaryota; Metazoa; Chordata; Actinopteri; Siluriformes; Ictaluridae.
UCCCUGGUUGUCUAGUGGUAAGGAUUCUGUGCACUCACCGCUGUGGCCCAGCUUCCAUUCCCGGUCAGGGAA